RNAcentral lists this unclassified non-coding RNA (337 nucleotides) under soil metagenome. Its description in RNAcentral is "partial contains 5.8S ribosomal RNA, internal transcribed spacer 2, and large subunit ribosomal RNA". The stretch from base 1 to 120 matches the Rfam family "5.8S ribosomal RNA", at positions 35 to 154 of the family's 154-position model. The record is from RNAcentral.
GAUGAAGAACGUAGCGAAAUGCGAUAAGUAGUGUGAUUUGCAGAAUUCAGUGAAUCAUCGAAUCUUUGAACGCACAUUGCGCCCCAUGGUAUUCCGUGGGGCAUGCCUGUUCGAGCGUCAUUUACCCCCUCAAGCUCCGCUUGGUGUUGGGCGUCUGUCCCGCUUCGCGCGCGGACUCGCCCCAAAGGUAUUGGCAGCGGUCGUGCCAGCUUCUCGCGCAGCACAUUGCGCUUCUCGAGGCACCGGUGGGCCCGCGUCCAUCAAGCUCACCCCCCCAGUUUGACCUCGGAUCAGGUAGGGAUACCCGCUGAACUUAAGCAUAUCAAUAAGCGGAGGA